This 20-nucleotide non-coding RNA is filed under the name Arabidopsis thaliana (thale cress). The record is from RNAcentral. Lineage: Eukaryota; Viridiplantae; Streptophyta; Magnoliopsida; Brassicales; Brassicaceae.
GCAAAGGUAUGUGCCGCGUG